GGGGAGCCCGAGGAAGCUGUGAGAUGCUAACCCCACCAUGACAGGCUCCCAGUGGCUGUCACUCCAGUCCAGCACUGUGCUCAGCCUGCACAUAGCUAUCCACAUGCUUGGGUCCCCUUCUCCCACGAUGAGGUGACCAGGGCUGACAGUCAACCCUGGAUCUAAGCGGCUGGGAGUUCUGGGGUGGGAGAAAUGGGAUCUUUGGGGAGCUCUGCAGAACCUCAAGGCACCAGAUUCAACAAAGAAGGGGGAGCCCUGGCCGCCACCCAGGGUCCCUGCAAGCAGGAGGAGUUGUCCUAAUUUUGUUCUGGCAACGAAAUAAUUAACAAAUGCAGCAUGAAGGCAGGGCCAGACUGAACUGAAGGACAGACAGUCAAACAGAAUGUCUGGAACAUGAUCAUUUACAGGAUGAUCACUACUGGCCAAUAGGCAGGAGCUGCCAACACCACCCCUGCCACCCCCUCGUGCCCCCGCAGCCUCUCCAGAGACGCUUCAGAGACCCUCAGGCUCCUUGGCCGGGCGUGGAGCAUGUCUCCCAGGGGCACUAGAUGAAGGAGAAUGUGCUGCAGAUGUGACAAAUGCCGGCUACGUUUCAUGGGGUCAUCCUUGCCUGGCCGUGGAAAGCGAGAAGAGAAACACCCGCGAUCCUGUGGACCAGGGGAGCCCAAAGAGAAUGGCAGUGACCAGGGAGGACAGAGAGGCCAGCCUGGACCAGGAGAUGCUGGGGGAGCUGGCAGGAAGACCAGGCUCCCCAGCCCCAAUGCAGCCACGCCAGGGAUAAGUGGAGCCCUCCUGGAUGAGCAGGGAAGAGGCAAUCUUCUCAUAACCACCCAGGUGGAGACACCGGCUCCGCUGUCCCCAGGAGGCUCGGGGGCACUGUCCCGGCGUGAACAGUACCAGAUUGAGGGAGGAGAGCAAGCCGAUGGCCAAGCCCAGAGCCGUGGGCUGUCGAAUGACAAGGGACUCAGUUUCAUCUAUAAAAUGGGACCAAUACAGGUGCCUACUUCACAGGACUAUCAUGAGGGGUGAGUUAGUGCAGGUGAAGGCCUGAACGUUGCUUCUGGCACAAGCAACACCCAGCAGAUAACCGCCACGGUGAGAAGAGGCUCCGAUGUGCACACUCCUGCCGGCCCUGCGGUUCUUGUCAGCUCAAGCUCCCCGUAUGCCUUGUAAAAAGCAGUAAUUAAGCUCUCUUGAAAAUUAAGCCAACGUGUCUUCCCUUUCCUCUCCAGUCCAUUUCCAGUGCUUGCAGAUUUUUUUUUAAAGAUUUUAUUUAUUCAUGAGAGACACAGAGAGGCAGAGACACAGGCAGAGGGAGAAGCAGGCUCCAUGCAGGGAACCCGAUGCGGGACUCUAUCCCAGGGUCCUGGGGUCACGCUCUGGGCCAAAGGCAGACGCUCAACCACUGAGCCACCCAGGCAUGCCCAGUGCUUGCAGAUUUUUAAAAUCCUCUCCCUCUGCUCACUUCUGUCCCCAAAAUGCCACAUAUCCUGGGGUG
This 1498-nucleotide long non-coding RNA is filed under the name Vulpes vulpes (red fox). RNAcentral's name for it is "lncRNA (ENSVVUG00000002290.1)". Lineage: Eukaryota; Metazoa; Chordata; Mammalia; Carnivora; Canidae. The record is from RNAcentral.